UACGUAGGGGGCUAGCGUUGUCCGGAUUUAUUGGGCGUAAAGAGCGUGUAGGCGGCCAGGUAGGUCUGGUGUGAAAACUCGAGGCUUAACCUCGAGAUGUCAUCGGAAACCAUCUGGCUAGAGUCCGGAAGAGGAGAGUGGAAUUCCUGGUGUAGCGGUGAAAUGCGCAGAUAUCAGGAGGAACACCUAUUGCGAAGGCAGCUCGCUGGGACGUAACUGACGCUGAGACGCGAAAGCGUGGGGAGCAAACAGG
This 253-nucleotide ribosomal RNA is filed under the name uncultured bacterium. RNAcentral's name for it is "partial 16S ribosomal RNA". It matches the Rfam family "Bacterial small subunit ribosomal RNA", at positions 524 to 776 of the family's 1533-position model. The record is from RNAcentral.